Molecule: long non-coding RNA, 2170 nt
Organism: Callithrix jacchus (white-tufted-ear marmoset)
Lineage: Eukaryota; Metazoa; Chordata; Mammalia; Primates; Cebidae
Source: Ensembl
AUGAUUUGGCCCUCCUGUCAUUUCUCUGAAGAAGGAAACUCUAAAGAGUUAUGCCUUUGGCUCUGGUAUCUCCAGGAGAGGAGACCUGCAAAAGUGGUAGGAAAAUUCUCCACCUGGACUCCAGUCAUCACCUCCCACUUCCGGAGAGCCCGGGCAGCAUCAAGCCACUCCCUCUGUAUCUUUGACAUCUCUGCUUCCCAAGCUGUACGUAUGCUCGGGUGUCUCUUCUUUAAAAUAAAACCCCUUCCUCAAAUGUGUUGCUGUCUUUAGCCACCUCCUUCUGUUUUCCCCACAGCCCAGCAUUUUACAGAGUGGAUCACCCCUGCUGGCUGGACGUGGCAUCUCCUGCACUGUCACCUUUUCUUCCAGGCAUGUCUUCUACCAUCAGUACUCCCCAGCCCCUCCAAGGCUCACCACAGCUAGGGAAAUAAAAACUGCUUUGUUGGAAUUGUCCUUACUAAGGUUACCAAUGCUUUUCUAGUUUCCCAAAACCAGGAGUUGUUUUCCAGUCCUUAUUUAACCUCUGGUAGACACUGUUUUCCACCAUUCUGUUCUCUUAGAAACUUUGUCCUAUUUUCUUUGAUACAUGCCUUUCUUUGUCCUAUUUUCUUUGAUACAUGCCUAUUUUCUUUGAUACAUGCCUCCCAUCUGUGCUUGGGAAUGACCACUUUCAACUUUUUGCCACUUUCUGUACACAACCAUCCUCUCUGACAAUUUGGUAAAAUGUGCCUUUUAUCUUUUCAACAAAUAUUUAUUGAUUUCCUGAGGUGGCCUCUCUGCUUCUCUCUGACCAUUCUCACCUUUUCACCCCCCCCAACACCAGCCCUUAUCGUUCACCAUUUAGUACUGGUGUGCUUCAAGCUGAAUGCUUUCAUCUCCCUUCUUCUGUCUCCAUGUCUUCCCUAUUGAUCUCCUCCAUUCUUAGUGCUCUGAGAGACACAUACCCGUUCACUCUCCCCUGAGCCCCUGCUUCACGUGUUGAAAUGCACACUGAAUAUUUCACAUUGGAUGUCUUAUAUGCUACUCAUACUCUAUAUAUCCAGAACAGAACUUGUUAUAUUUCAAACCAAAUCUCUCUUCUCAUGUCCUUAUGUCUUGUUUAAUGGUCCUUGUGUUUAUCCAGCUUCCCCACCUAGAAAUAAAUGAAAAUAUCAAGAUUCCUGCUUUCUCCUGGAUCCCCUCUUCAGUUUGUCACCAAAUACUAAUAAUUUUGGGUUUCAGAUCGGAUUCAAGAUGGCACAGUAAGAACAACUCAGGAUCGCAGCUCUCAGUGAACGCUCAGAGGGUGAGUCAAAGCCGCAUUAGAUCUUUGUUGCCCACAGAAUGGGGAAAUUCCCAGGUGUAGGAAAGACACGGGAUGCAAGCACAGCCAUUUCAGCUGUUGCGGCCACUUCGGAUGGCACCGCAGCGCAGUGGCACUCCACAACAAUCUGCACAAAACACACGGGCCCGGGUGCCCUGCUAAACUAGCAAUCUGAGAUUUGGGAGGGCAGAUUAGCAUAUCCAUCUGAUUAAAUGGGACUUGGACAGUGAGCCAGACCAGGAGAUUCCUGGGAAGUGGCGUUUGAGCCAGCGCAGUGGCUAGCUGCACCGGGAAAUCACACAGAUCCCAGUGCUCUAACAGUGGGUGACCAAAACACCUGGGAGAGAGCCAUCCAUUCAACAUAAAAAAAAAAAAAAGAAAGGUGCCGAGGCAGGGAGCCAGGCGAGUGGGCUCGGUGGGUUUCACCCCCAUAGGGACAAACAAAAUGGCAAUUCAAAACGCUCCAGGUGGAGAGUUUCACUGCGGGCACAGCUGAACCCAGGAUGGUGCAGCUCGGUGGGGGAGGGGCAUUCGCCAUUACCGAGGCAAUCCACGCCUACUGAGGUACACUCCCAUUGCUGAUGCAGCCUGCCAUUGCCGAGGCAACCCGUCAUAACAGAGAGACUCCGCUGCAGGGCGGAGCUGGUGGCAGCAGGGCAGAGCCUGUGGUGGAGCCCACAGCAACAGGGCGGACACCACAUCAGCAGGGCAGAGCCUCAGCAGGCAAAUAGUGACUAGACUGCCUCCUAGCUGGGCAGGAUAGUGCAACAGACACUCAUAAAGAAAGCCCAAACCCCCUGAGACAGAGCAUCUGAGGAAAAAAAGGGGUUUUAAGAGUUCUGCUGCAGCAGACUUAAACACACCUGC